GAAUCGCUAGUAAUCGCGGAUCAGCACGCCGCGGUGAAUACGUUCCCGGGCCUUGUACACACCGCCCGUCACACCAUGAGAGUCUGUAACACCCAAAGCCGGUGGGAUAACCUUUAUAGGAGUCAGCCGUCUAAGGUAGGACAGAUGAUUAGGGUGAAGUCGUAACAAGGUACC
Molecule: ribosomal RNA, 174 nt
Filed under: uncultured bacterium
Lineage: Bacteria
Description: partial 16S ribosomal RNA
Rfam family: Bacterial small subunit ribosomal RNA
Source: RNAcentral